GCCGUGGUGGCACAAUCUGGUACUGCGCAAGCCUGGAAAGCUUGUUUCCUUUGGGAUAUCCCGGUUCAAAUCCGGGCCACGGCG
RNAcentral lists this transfer RNA (84 nucleotides) under Nanobdellati archaeon. RNAcentral's name for it is "DPANN group archaeon (hydrothermal vent metagenome) tRNA-Ser". It matches the Rfam family "tRNA". From Rfam's summary of the family: Transfer RNA (tRNA) molecules are approximately 80 nucleotides in length. Lineage: Archaea; Nanobdellati. The record is from RNAcentral.